Molecule: ribosomal RNA, 252 nt
Filed under: uncultured bacterium
Lineage: Bacteria
Description: partial 16S ribosomal RNA
Rfam family: Bacterial small subunit ribosomal RNA
Source: RNAcentral
UACGUAGGGGGCUAGCGUUGUCCGGAUGUAUUGGGCGUAAAGAGCGUGUAGGCGGCCAGAUAGGUCUGCUGUGAAAACUCGAGGCUCAACCUCGAGAUGUCGGCGGAAACCAUUUGGCUAGAGUCCGGAAGAGGAAAGUGGAAUUCCUGGUGUAGCGGUGAAAUGCGCAGAUAUCAGGAAGAACACCCGUGGCGAAGGCGGCUUUCUGGGACGGUACUGACGCUGAGACGCGAAAGCGUGGGAGCGAACAGG